RNAcentral lists this ribosomal RNA (458 nucleotides) under uncultured bacterium. Its description in RNAcentral is "partial 16S ribosomal RNA". It matches the Rfam family "Bacterial small subunit ribosomal RNA", at positions 338 to 795 of the family's 1533-position model. The record is from RNAcentral.
CCUACGGGAGACUGCAGUGAGGAAUAUUGGUCAAUGGGCGAGAGCCUGAACCAGCCAAGUCGCGUGAGGGAGUACUGCCCUAUGGGUUGUAAACCUCUUUUGUCGGGGAGCAAAAGCCGGACGUGUCCGGCUGUGAGAGUACCCGGAGAAAAAGCAUCGGCUAACUCCGUGACAGCAGCCGCUGUAAUACGGAGGAUGCGAGCGUUAUCCGUAAUUAUUGGGUUAAAGGGGUCGUCAGUCGGAUUUUUAAGUCAGCGGUAAAAUCGUGGGGCUCAACCCCAUCCAGCCGUUGAAACUGGGGAUCUAGAGUAUGCGAGAGGUAUGCGGAAUGCGUGGUGUAGCGGUGAAAUGCAUAGAUAUCACGCAGAACCCCGAUGGCGAAGGCAGCAUACCGGUGAACAACUGACGCUCAGGCACGAAAGCGUGGGUAUCGAACAGGAUUAGAUACCCUAGUAGUC